This 465-nucleotide ribosomal RNA is filed under the name uncultured bacterium. RNAcentral's name for it is "bacterial SSU rRNA". It matches the Rfam family "Bacterial small subunit ribosomal RNA", at positions 329 to 793 of the family's 1533-position model. The record is from RNAcentral.
GGCCAGACUCCUACGGGAGGCAGCAGUGAGGAAUAUUGGUCAAUGGGCGAGAGCCUGGACCAGCCAAGUCGCGUGAGGGAGUACUGCCCUAUGGGUUGUAAACCUCUUUUGUCGGGGAGCAAAAGCCGGACGUGUCCGGCUGUGAGAGUACCCGAAGAAAAAGCAUCGGCUAACUCCGUGCCAGCAGCCGCGGUAAUACGGAGGAUGCGAGCGUUAUCCGGAUUUAUUGGGUUUAAAGGGUGCGCAGGCGGAUUUUUAAGUCAGCGGUCAAAUGUCGGUGCUCAACACCGGCCUGCCGUUGAAACUGGUCUUCUUGAGUGAGCGAGAAGUAUGCGGAAUGCGUGGUGUAGCGGUGAAAUGCAUAGAUAUCACGCAGAACCCCGAUUGCGAAGGCAGCCUUCCGGCGCCCUACUGACGCUGAGGCACGAAAGUGCGGGGAUCGAACAGGAUUAGAUACCCGCGUAC